Long non-coding RNA from Dermochelys coriacea (leatherback sea turtle), 2650 nucleotides. RefSeq lists it as uncharacterized. Lineage: Eukaryota; Metazoa; Chordata; Testudines; Dermochelyidae. The record is from RefSeq and is a predicted model, not a curated record. The transcript is spliced from 2 exons.
AGUCACUCCCAGGUUUUCAAAGGGUGAGGGUUUGUCUCUUGAGCAGGAGACAGGCACCUUGGACAGAGCAGCAGGGGAGCAUAGAAGGGCUCUGGCCUGAUACCUGCCAGACUGUGGGCCCUGAUAGAAAGGGCCUAGAGGGUGUGAAGGGCCACAGGGGAAGUGGCCCAGGGACAGUUAGACAAGGGGAGAGAAGGAGGGCAGGAAGGCUGCUACUAGAGGGUGCCUGGGUCAGGACCCAGAGUAGUGAGUGGGCUAGACUCCCCUCCCCUGCCCUUCUUCCUUGUAUAGCACCCACCCAUGGAAGGGUGGCUGUGACAGACUGCAACUGGCCCUUGAACAGAGGGGCUAGACUCGAAGGGUUGUGGUUGGCCACUGUGGCAGGAGUGAACUGGACAGACUGCUGUUAACCCCCCCCCCCCACUCCAGAAGUGGGUGAGGGUGGACUUGAGGGCACUGCCAGAGGGCUGUGUUCUGAAAAGGAUGCUGCUGAGUGAGGAGCAAUGCAGGUCCAGAUGCCAGCAGGGUGAGAGACAGAUGGGACAUCACCAGCAGAGGUGCUCCACAGAGGACAGUUAAUUCCUAGAUUGCCAGUGGGAGGUGCUGCAGUGGUACCACAAGAGGACAAAAAAAGACACAAGGAAUGUGGUUUAAGUGGGCCACAACUUUAUUAAGUAACAUCUGGGAACUAUCCAGCAAUACCACAUCCAGUGCAAGUCAUCCAUCCUUUGCAAUCGGUUCCACUUGGCAGAAGGUCACCAUCAAUCCCAACCCUGUGAGCCUGGUCUCCCAAUCAUUACUGGGACCCCACUGCCCUGCCUAAGGGGAGGGGAACAGGUGGUUGUCUCCUUGCUGUACCAGACAUUAGGAGCUCCAACCAAUUCUCCACAUUCUUUAGGACAUUCCUUCUCCUAAUCCGCUUCCAAAUUCUGGUUGAUCAGUCAACCAGAGCCACCUCUGAAAAUUAUCUGGGCUGGACAUCAGCCAAGUUGUGACAAUUAAUUUCAUAACUCAACAUUCCCUCUGGGUUGCUGAAAGGAAGGUAAAGAAAACCCAUACCAUGCGACCAGUGUGACAGGGAGGGAAAAGGCCUACAGCAAAACCCAACAACCUGGUCUUACUCUAAUCACAGAGGGUUGGUGGGGAGGAGAGGAGGGGGAUAGUGGUUCCUCCCCCCCCCCCCCCCCCAGACAGAACACCACCUCCUGGCAUGGUGAAGUUCUUCUUAUCCCUUCCCUUGUGCGUCUAGCAGCCAAUAAGAUUAUGCUGCACUCUUCUGUCUAACUAAUCAGCCAAAGAGGACUCCUCCUCAAACCCAUGAGGAGAAGAGUGGACUUGCCAUUCUUAAUGGGGCUGAGGGUUCUCUUCCCCUGCUGGUCCAGACAAAACCUUCCCAUCUUCGAGAGUACGGGAAGUGUGGAGGCAUUUGAAAAUAAGGUUCUUAUGACCUUCUCCUGAGCAUUGUUAUAUGCAGCUCUUCUUAUCUGAGGAUACCAGAUCCAUCAGAAUGAGACACUAUUUACUGAAACGAAUUGUCUUGUCAACUUUUAUUGGUUCAUGAGGAGAGAUUUGCCAGUUCCUUCUCUGCCUCUUUUGUAUAGUUUUUGAUCUACGUGUCAGCUAUGGAAUGUUUGAAAUACAUCCACUUUCAGAAAAAGUGGCUGAUUCAAAAACAGGACAAUCUUAUGGCUAAAGACUGCUACAGUGCUUUUUUUUUUUUUUGCUUGUAUCUAGACUUGUACCUAACUAGCACUGGAUGAAAUUAUUAAAGAAAACUUGUUUCAUUACAAAUAGCAAUGUCAAACUAAUUUUUUCAUUAAAUAUUUUCAGUAUAGUUUUCCAUUUUUCAAAACAUUCAAAGCAAAACAUUUCAGGGUAAAUUGGCCCCAAAUUUUAUAUUUUUUUUUUUUCUUAGAAAAGUAUGAAAAAGUUUGAAAAAAUAACAUUCAUUAUUAAAUUUUAAUUUUUUGAAACUCUUUUUAAGUGAGACAAAACAUAGCGAUUUUUUUUUACCAUUUGGAAGAUAUACACAUACUCAAAAAAAAAAAGUGAGAAAGUAUCUAAGUAAUACCUUUCAUACUUUGAUACUGUUUUCCAGGUGGCAAAAAUGGGGAGAAAUAGUGUAGAAAAACCUCUCAAUUUCUUUGAAUUUUUCCUUAUUUCCCAAUGUGAAUUUCAAUUAACUAUUUUUCUUCAAAAAAUUGCAGUGGGAAAAAUUACCAGAGGUGGGAAGGCUAAAUUCACAGCUGGUGUCAGUACUCUACUUUCACUUACAUCAGUUUGAGUUUACCAAUAUUGACUUCAGUAUCACCUCGGGACAUGAGGACAAUGUAUAGGUUUGUAUAUUUAGAAAGGAGUAUUUGUGUGGGAAUCAAGUUAUUCACACAAGGCUUCAGGAUUUUAAGCAAUCAUGGGGCUGUAAUCAAAAUGUGGUGAUUAAUACCAAUACAUUGGAAUUUAUACAUAUUUACCAUCCAGGACUGGUUACAGAUGCAAGAGGAACAUGCAAAAAACUGUAUUACAUAGAUCCAAGAGGUGCUCAUUUUUGUGGUGGUUAUAUAGAAUAAGGGGAUUUUAUGAUGGCUAAAUACAAAUAAAGUGUCUGUUUCAAUACACUUGGAAGUAUUCAUGAGUUUAAUUGCCUUCAUGA